Molecule: ribosomal RNA, 331 nt
Filed under: uncultured eukaryote
Lineage: Eukaryota
Description: partial 18S ribosomal RNA
Rfam family: Eukaryotic small subunit ribosomal RNA
Source: RNAcentral
CCCUUAGAUGUUCUGGGCCGCACGCGCGCUACACUGAGCCCUUCAUCGAGUUUACAACCUUGGCCGGUAGGUCUGGGUAAUCUUCUCAAAGGGGCUCGUGCUGGGGAUAGAUUAUUGUAAUUUUUAAUCUUCAACGAGGAAUUCCUAGUAAACGCAAGUCAACAGCUUGCAUUGAUUACGUCCCUGCCCUUUGUACACACCGCCCGUCGCUACUACCGAUUGAAUGGCUUAGUGAGGACUCCUGAUUGGCGCCGCCGCCCCGGCAACGGAGCAGCGGACUGCCGAAAAGUUGUUCAAACUUGAUCAUUUAGAGGAAGUAAAAGUCGUAACA